This is a long non-coding RNA of Passer montanus (Eurasian tree sparrow), 11757 nucleotides long. RefSeq lists it as uncharacterized. The record is from RefSeq and is a predicted model, not a curated record. The transcript is spliced from 6 exons. NCBI's taxonomy places the organism in Eukaryota, Metazoa, Chordata, Aves, Passeriformes, Passeridae.
CAGUCCAAUGGGGCUUUUAAUUUCCUCAGGAUCUGAGAAAGUGGAAGGAGCACACUGUAUUGCAAGAUGAAUGUUUGUGUGGGAAUGAGCUGCGUGGGAGCAUUUUAUGAAGUACUUUACAGCAGCAGCAAAACACUAUCAAGAAACUGCCUCCUGGCUAACAUUCUCAGCAAACCCUCAUGGCUAUUUACACAGAUGAGCAGCCCAACAAACACUGUGAAUCCAAUCCAUCACCUGAUUUUGGAUUGCCAUUUUGAUAAUUACCAGGAGCUGCAUAAUGGCUUGAAGAGCAUCUCAGUAGGAUUUCUCCUGGCUGGAGAGGAGAGCUGAAGAGGUUAAUCAAAACAGGGCAAUCAGACUACUGAAAAUCAUCUAGACCUUCAUCCACAGAGUUGCAGGGACCCACCAACAGCAAAUAAUGAGAGGAGCUGGGUACGGAACUUCUUGGUCUCAUAAUGACCAUCCAAAAACAUCAAAACCUGAGAAUCAAGAUGGUUGACCCAAAUCUAAAAUUUUGUCCACCAUGAACACUGACCGGUAGGCUGACAAUGGAAAGUAAUAGCAGGAAAAAUGGAUUUUUCCCAACAUGUUGAAGACACUGCCAACAAUCCCUUUGCAAUCCACCUGCAGUCUGCAGUUACAGAGAAGCUGAAGCUAAAUAACCAACGAUGGACUUUAUAUGCUAAAAAUAAAACAGCACAGAAGACAAAAAACCAAUUUUUAAAUAAUAAUCAAAGUUAUUGACAGAAAUGAUGGAUUAUUUUCUGUGAUAAACUUUCUCCAUGAAAUAUUAUUCUUUCUCUGGAAUAACUGCAAUGGAUGGUGACAGAUGCUGGUACUCAAAUUUAGUUUUAUUUUCUGUCAGAAACUUAUCCUUAGGGCCUUCUAGUUAGACACAAUGAUAUAUCUAUAUCUAGUUUAAGGAAAUGUCUUCAAAAUUCAUUUGUAAGAGAGCUGUAUUAAACCAAAUAUUCAGAUUUGUGGUGAUGGGAUCAUUUAAUAUCUAAUAUGUCUAAUAGCAAAGAAGAAAUCUGACUAAGACAGUGGAGUAAGAAAUUUUAGUUUCAUCACUGUUUCUUUGCAAUCACUUCCCCAAAUGUUUACACAUGUAAGCACUGACUAAAAAUCACUUAAAAAGUUUAAACCAAUGCUAUUAGAGCUUUUGCUGAUUGUUUAUUUGACCUGCUUACGUGAGUACUUGAAACUAUGUGUUGUCUGAAACUGACUUGCAACAGGUGAGUUUAAAGACUAGUUUAAAACAUGUGUUGAUUAUGAAAUGAACAGAAUAAGUCUAAAUUAUUUCAAAAUUUAUAUAAAAAUGAGUGUAUCAAAGUACACUAAAGCAUCUGACUAUUUAUACCUAAAUUUUAAAAUAAUAAAUAUAUAAUAAUUAACCAGUAAUUUUGAAAUAGAUAAUUUCCCGCUAUGUUUUAAUACAUUUAAUAAUGAAAAUCUUCAGGCUAGCAUGUUUUACAGAAGACAUACAAGCUUUUAGUGAAAAAAAAAAAAAGAGAAAGCAUGCUGGUACUCCUUUGAAAGCAACUUUUAAUGUGAAAACACUAUUAACAUGUUUGAUCUGUCAUGAUGGGUAGCAGAAUAGGAUUUUAUAAAAAUUAAAAGAAACUUUUAUUGGAAUGGACCAGAAAUUCAACAAAAAAGUAUUUGAUAAGGAUUAUAUUUCUGGACAUCUAGUACAAGCAAUUAUUCGUAAUAAUAAUAUUUCCUUUUAUUAAUGACUAUCAGAGAUAUUGAAAUGGUGUUUGGUAGUCUGUUGGCCAUCUGUCAUUUUCCUGGCAUACCAAAGAAGUUAAAAUAAAAUUAUUUGGGAAGAACACCAUUACUUUUCUGCCCUAUAUUGAUGAUUAUAUUCAUAAUAGGAACUGAUAUCAUGUUGUGCCAUCAAGUGACUUUGUGUAUUACCCAACAGCUUUCUUCCUGACAAUCCAAAGAUGGGCCCAGAAGGAAGAAACUGCUCACUGAACUUCUGUCUUGCUCUCAAAACAUUAUAUUAGAGCAUUUGUUGUAGGACACCACAACCAGACAUGGAGAACUUUUUGCAGCAGAACAAGAUGCUAAGGAAUGAUCUUCAGAUUUCCAUGGGGUUGUCUCCUGUUCAUGGUGCUGCAAUUUGCUGUCUGCAGAUGAAAGUUAUUUCCCAUUAAUUAUUGAUGCUGCAAUACAUCCUAGUCUGUUUUAGUAACAGAUAGCUUUGCUUAGUUUAAAGAGCCACUGCCAGGAGCUUAAUAGCCAUUGGUUUUGAUGAGCAGAAAACAGGCUGGCCUUUAUUUUUUUCAGAAACAUUUGAAAAACGACUACUGCCAUGACCACAAAGUAUUAGCAAUCCCUUUUCACAAAUUCAGUUUGUUCAUAACCUUGUGACAUAGACCAUAAAUAGCCUUCUUGUAUUUCACGCAUAUGAACAAUUAACAUGAACAGUAUAUACAAUAUUUACUUUACAAAAAACAAACUAAAGUGCUAUAUGAACAACCCAUCUAUUGGCAAAGGAUUAAUUUCCUAUUCCACAUUAAAUCCAGAUUGUAUGCCUAGCUAACUUGCUUGCUAUGACACUGUACUGGUUGCAGGUGGUAGCAAGGAAAAUAUUAAUCAUUUGGCACUGGGGCUGCUACUGGAAAAGUUAUACUAGAGAAAAAAAAACUAAGAGAAAGCUGAGAUUUGGAUCAUAGAAAAGCUCAUAUGAUUUUCUGCACCAGACUAUGAAGUUUAGAAAUGAAAAAAUAUUUAAAAGGAAGCUAUUUUUAUUUUUGAAAAUGAUUCUUGGUGAGUUUAUUUAAUAUAUUUUAUUUGCACAGAUGAUUAGUAUGAUAAUAAUAGCAAAAUGCUAAAAGAAUAUGUGAGAAUUCAAAAGAAUAAAUCAGAAAAUAUUUACUGGAGUGAGUAAUUUUUUGUCUGCUUUAUACCUAAAACCCAGGUACCCAAUAGGAAUAUAAGACAGAAUAACAGUUAGGCUACUAUUUUUUUUAACAAAUUUAUCUUUGUGCUUUGAAAACUGGAAAAGAUAUCUUGUCUGAUGAAUUGGAUGUUUUAGUUUUUAAGUAAUAUAAUUAAAAGUGUUGAUUACAGUUAGGGUAGAAAAGCAACUGAUAAUGGUGUAUGUAAGAACAUACCAGAAUUUUUUACAUGCUUUAAUCUUAUCACAAUUUCUUGCUAAAGAUUUACAUAAAGAAAAAAAGAUUAAAUUCACAGAGUAUUUAAUUCUGUCUUUUGUUCAACAUAAUGAGAAAAUAUUUUUGUCUUCCAAAUGCAAAGAAUAGGCAAACCCUUUCACUACUGGAAAUGUCCAUUUUACUGUUUUAAUCUUGAUUCAGCACGUAACUUCUUCUAGGAAAAACUGAUGAUUUGCUCUAUUAUCAGAGAUAACACAGGGCCAAACAAUGGGCAGAUUGAACAGGCAAGAAAAAGAUGAGAAUUUCCACAGAAAUUCUGUUACUUGUAUAUCUUUAAGUGAUCAGGAAAGUGACCCUAGCAAGAUUAAAAUGUUCAGGGUGCCUUCUCCUUCCCAGACAAGAGGUAAGAAAACCUGAUGGAUUAAAGGAUAAUGCUAUCUCAAACACAUCUAUCUGAAGGAAUGACCAAGCCCAUUUACCCAUUUUCAUUAAAAGAGACCAGACUUCCUGGCAACAUAUGUAGCACCAGUGUACACGCUGAUGCAGGUUUGGAAGGACCUGCAGCAAACCAACUGCCGCCACUGGGGUAGUGGAAACCUAAGGAUGGAUCUGAUUGGCAAGUUAUGUAGUGAGUUGCAGCAAAGUUGAGAAUGAAAACUCUUUUGGAUAGGAAAUUAUAAUAGCACAAGAUAUUCCCUAAAAAAAUAAUAAUAUAGAAUCAUAGGUGGGUCUGGGUAGGAAGGGACCCUUAAAAUUCAUCUAGUCUAAUCCCUCUGCCACAGGCGGGGACGUCUUCAGCUAGAUCAUGCUGCUCAGAGCCUCAUCCAACCUGACUUUGUAUGUUUCUAGAAAUGGGGUGGGCAUCUACCACUUCUGCGGGCAACCUCAUCCACUGUCUCACCAUCCUAAUCUUAAAAUAUUUCUUCCUCAUAUCUAGUCUGAAUUUACCUGUUUUCAGUUUGAUAUAAUUACUCCUUGUCCUUUUGUUCUAUAUCCUUUUCAAAAGUCCCUCACCAGCUCUCUUUUAGCCCCUGUAAGUGCCAUAAGGAUUUUCUGGAGCCUUCUCUUAUCCAGGUUGAACAAACCCAAUUCUUUCAUCCUGUCUUUACAGAAGAGGUGUUUCAGGCCUUGUGGACUUCCUUAUAUUUGCAUUUGUAGGUCCAAAAUCUUACACUGGUGUCCCCCAGAGCCCAGUGCAGCACUCCAAGUGGGGGUUCACCAGAGCAGAGUAGAGGAGCAGAAUCACCUCCCUUGCCUUGCUGGCCACAGGGCUCUUGAUGCAGCCUAGGACACAUGCUGGGGCAUGUCCAACCUUCCUUCCAUCAGUAGGCACAAAUCCUUCUUGUAAGGCCCGCUCUCAGUUCUCAACCCCCUGACUGUAUUGAUUCUGGGGUUGCCCCAACCCAUGGGCAAGACCUUGCACUUGGUCGUGUUUAACCAGAUACAUUUUCCAGAAUUCCACUUCUUGACCUCAUCCAAGUCUCUCUGUAUAGCAUUUUGUCCUUCAGACACAUUGGGUCUAUGCUAUCAAAAUAUGAGUGCAGACAAUGAAAUAGGAAAUAAAUACACAGUCAAUAGACUUUAAGGUGUUAUGUGGAUCUCCACAGAUCUAAUUCGGAUUACUUAAGCUCAUUUGGCUCUACCUUUCAAAGAAGUUUGAGUCUAGCCAAAUGAAGACUCAAACUUCUAGCCAAAUGAAGGCCAUUCAUGUGGGCUAAGAUACCCAUAACUCCUUUGCCUUCAUGUUUCCCCUAAAGCAAUUGUAAAAAAAUACUAAUUUUUUUGUUUUCAUAGGAAUUUAGAAAAGCAUAAAACUAAAGUGGGCCUCAAAACCACAAAGACGCUUUGGAGUUUAUACUCUGCCAGGUAACAGAAAUAGAGGAGAGCAUACAUUGACAAACCAGGAACAGUUAGGAGUGAAAGAUCAAAUAAGGUGUGAGAAAUCAAAAUACUCAGAGAUCUUUGACAACAGAUAUAAUAUUUUUAAUUUAGUUACCAGUGCAAAUGGUACAUGUGUAGACAAUAUCAUGCUAAAGAGAGGGGACAGAGAGGUUGAAUGUUGAAUUUCUCUUCCUUUAUUUCUUCCUUUCUCUACUUCACUAAUCCUGAUGUCAAAGAAGUGCAGUUUCUGUCCAUACAUUUCACUGGAGUUUUAUCAAGCUAAUAUAUGGAUUCUACAAAUUAAUCUGUGAUAUUGUACUGUAAUUCAAUAGACAAUGCUUAAAAAAAAACCCCAGACCUAUCCCUGUAUUUUAUUUUCCAUGUUUUCUGGUGGUUGUUAUUAAAGGUUUUAAAUCAACACUAGUUGCCACACCACAAUGUCUGAAAUACUAUUGUCAUUUUCUCCUAUAAGAUAGAUACAUCAGCAUAAAUAUUUCAAUGUCAAAGGAGGUAUUUCUUUUUCCUCCAUGACUACUGUUAAAAGACUUCAAAUAUUUAUAGAUUUUUUCUUAAAUCUCAUUGUCAACACUUGCCAAUACUCAGAACUUAAAUUUCUCCCAGCAGAUAAGUUCCCCCAGUAUUUUAAUGUAUUUUUUGUUUCUAAAUGCUAUUCUAUUCAAUGGAAAUAAAAAUGUGGACUUAACAGACUGAUGCAUGUAAUGAAAACGAUGAAGCAAUUUGAGAGAUACAGCAAUAGCAAGUUACCAGGACUGAAUUAUCUCUCUCCAAAAUUCUGAAGAAAGAAAUUUAUUGAUUAUAGUAUGUAUAGAUGGGAAUAUACGUUACCUCUUUGUGAUAGUAAUAAUAAUAUAUAACCACCCCCAUCACAGUCUGAAAGGCACUAAUACUGCUAAUUUCAGGGUUUUGAGUUUAAGAAAUGGUGUGAAAAUUCAGACACUUUCUGGUGCUGGGAAAGUUGUUGAAUUGUCCUAAAGGUAAUAAAAAUGCAGGACUUGAAGGAGGAUAACCUGAAAGGACUGAAACUAUGCCUCUUCUGUAAAGAGGAGCUGAAUUACAGCAAAACAGGUAAAAGUAAGAAAGGAAUAAAAAACCCUAGACUUCCCAAAAUCUUAUGGUAAAGGUAAUUUAAAUAAACUGUUCAAAGAAAUACAUUUCUUUGUAGGAAUGAAUGAACUCCUACUUUGGAUUAAACCAGAUAUUUAUUAUUUUUAAUGCAUCAGUUCUCCCUCCCCACCCCCCACCCAGCAGGAAGGUAAAUUAUAAUUGUACUGACACGUAGUUAGGAUGGAUGAUAGCUCCUGCUGUGUUUCUCUGGUCAUGUCGAGACAUGUUAACUGGGAUGGAGAAAGUAAGAACUAGCUAAUAUCAGUAAGGUGAUUUGAGUGGCUUGAAAACGGAUAUGGUCAGUGGUAGGAUGCUGGGAUAACUGAGGUGUCUGCUGAAUUCUAGCUCUUCCUGCCAGCUCUUGCAGGGUCUCACACUACACAGCAACCUGUCUGUCCGUCCAUGCCCAGGCUGUGGCUGUGUUUACUCCUGAAACAAAUCUUGAUUCUCCAGAUUUGUUCUCUAGGAGCAUACUGCAAAGACUGCAAGGAUGUUGUAGUGCCAGUGGAGACUCAUGCAAGGUCUGCUUGUGAGGAGCAAUGAGGCAGCUUGUGUUCCCAUAUUUAAAAGAACAGCAAUAACACAGCCAGCCAAUGAAUUAGGCUUUUUUUUCUGCUUGAAACCUGUAAAUUAUACAGAAAUCAAUGUCAUAUUGUCACCCUAACCACAAAUUUGUUGCUUGCUGUACAUCCAGGUUUGUUCAUCUGACUUUGGGAAGGACACUUGGUAUCACUUGGGUAACACACUUUCAACACAGGUUUUAUUUAGCGUGUCAGAUUGCAAAGCAAGUAGUUAGACCUCAGCCUGAGAAUGACUCGCCUUGGAUUCACCCAAAGUCUGUAGAAAAGAAUAUCAGUUGGGUGGAUGUAGGCGUACAACAAAUGGAAUAACUUCUGCCCUAUGCAGACCCACAGAUCAAAAAUAGGACACAUUGAUAAACAGAAAUAAGAUUAAUUCCUCUGUCUGGCUUGAAAUCAAAAAGGAAUCCAGUUCUAUUCCAUCAAAUAUUUUGGCUGUUUUUUAAAAAAUAGUUGGAUCAGUGCAUUGCUGUUAUUCACUGUAACAACUCAUAUAAACAGAUAAAUAUAUGACUUUUUAAGCCAAAUGCUCUUCUCAAGCUUUGAAAUGAUACUACUGUGAAAAGUUUAGCUAUCUAAAAAUAAUCAAAUAUAAUGCUUCAUAUUGUAUAAUAACUUUUCUAUCUGAACAGGUUAGGAAGGAUAUUUUCCCAUGUUAAUGGGUAACCUCACUUUUAUUUUUUCAUGAGCUGAUAUGUUUUUGAGAUACUUAUUCAUUAAUGCUGGAGACACAAUGUGCCUGGCCUAAUUCUUUUUGACAGUGGUGUUACUACUCCAGUUGGGAGAAAACAUUUAACAUCCCAGAAAAAAUGGAACUGUUGUUCCCUUUGCUUCUCAUGGAUUGAGCUAAAUCAUUCCUUUAGGGUCAUCCAAAUUUUGGUCUACUUUCUUUCUCUCUCAGUCAAUCAAAUGUAAUUUUUAAUGUGUCCAAUAAUCACUAUGCCCAGACUUUACCUAUUAAAGCACAAGUAAGCACAAAAGUGAUGCAGGGGCACUGGCUAAUGGUGACUUUCCCUCAUACAUACAUAUGUAAAAAGCUUGUCAAAUACACCUCUGCCUAAUAAGAAAGCACAAGUGUUCUGACAAACAACAGCAACAAAUUAAAAAAAUAGUCACUAUCCUGUCAAAUAAUGUUUUUAUAUCAAGGAUCUGGAAUACAAAACAUGUUUAUCAACAAUCACAUUAUGAGUAGAAUUCACCUGAAUGUAACACCUUCUCCCUCUAAGGUUUUGAGUGAGGCACAUUAAAGAAGAUCAUACAACUUACUUAUCCCAGGAACAAAGGUUCUUUUUUGAAAGCUGUCAGCUUGCUGACAGAUAUUAUGAACAUUUACUUCAGUCUUGUAAAACAUUUAAUCAAAUUUGUUCCUAUAGCUUCAGUCCAAGAGGGUUACUGUUUUGUUUAGAAAAAUGUACAUAAUUGAGGAAUAAUGAAUACAUAUAUAACUUGAAUGCAAGCCAUUAUCUAUGAUAUUCAUUUAUUUGUAAUGAAUACAUACUGGUCUAUAACAGACUUAAGGGCAAUGUAAGCAGUGUAUGAAAAUCUGUUUAAUAUAAGGCUAUUUGCCAAAUUUGCUAUUAUGCACCAUUCAUUGAACUUUAAGAACCUUUUGAAAAUAUAGAUUGCAUUUGCAAACUUCCAUGUAUGGAGAGCUGGCAAGCUGCCUGGUUUCUACUUAAAGGAUCGUCAUCCUUGGAAAAACAAAUUUCUCCAAAUAGAAAAAAGUCAGUGUUUUCAUGUUUUACUGCUAUCAAACUGAUAAGGCUGACAAUUUAAUGUCUCAACACCUGAAAUACCUGUGGAUAAUUAGUUACUUCAAUCAUCAGAACUAUAAAUUCCUCUGUUUUCAAAGGUUGUAUACAUAUGACAGAGCUAUUUAAAAGUUUUACCAGAAGCCUCCCCAUCCUCAAUCUUUGAUUUCUCUUAAGCUAUGAAAUUACUUUUUCACCAAAUGCAUAAUUUUAUAAUUAAUGGGAAAAAAAAUCAAAUCCUGCACUGUAAUCAGAUGUUUAAACCUUUUUAUUGAUGUCCUGUUUCAUUUAAUUUGAUGUGUAUUUCAUAGCCUGCUUGCCUGUUAAAUGUAUGUGGAAAGGUGCUGGCAUUCCAGCUGAAGAGAUCUUCCUGAGUGAGAAAAUGCUCAAGGCUUUUUUAAAGUAGGCACCAAACAUAUAUUUCCCUUCUUUGACUCCAGAAGAUGCUAAUAGCUGUCCCAGAAGACAGGUAUCACAAUGUAAAAGGCUAGCAGAGCUGUGAACCUUCAGGAUCUGACUGUUAGCAAAUGAGGUGGGUAGUUUCUCAAAACUAAUAAAGAAAAUGGCAGCAAUGAUGAGAUGCAGAAGGACCUGACAACAACAACAACAACAACAAUGAAAAAGAAAAUAAAAAGAAAAGAAAAAGAAAAGAAAAGGAAAAGAAAAAGAAAGGACAGAAAAGAAAAGAAAAGAAAAGAAAAGAAAAGAAAAGAAAAGAAAAGAAAAAAGAAAAGAAAAGAAAAGAAAAGAAAAGAAAAGAAACCAGCAAAACGAGAAUUCUGGGUAGUACAACAUCUGGCAGAGCUGAUUUUAAUAUUUGGCAGGUUGAGUUCAGUAAUCUUUGCUAUUCAUAUUGAUGUGAAACUUCAUAAAAUUUUAGAGAUUUGUAUGUAUUAAUAUAUGCAGGAAUGAUGCUACAACAUGGAAACAAGUUUGCUAGCACCUGCCAUUCAUUUUCAUGAUAAAAAUUGAUAUGAACUUUUUAAAAUGCCUAACAGAUAACUAAUUUCAACACUCAAUAAGAAAAACUACAUCUUUAGAGUGUCCUUUAUCUUUAAAAAGUAAUUAAAAAAAUAGACUAAAACUCACCAGCCAUGAAAACCAACAUUCUUCCCUCCUCUCUUUUGGUUCUUUGAUUACUUGGAGCCUUGUAAUCAAACUAAGCUUAGUUUCAGGACCCUUGAGGCAGUAUCUCUUAGUUCUCUGUCAGGCUCUGCUGGAAAACAAUCAAUCUUGUUCUUGUGCUGGUUUUGUAGAAGUGCCACAACACAAGGAGUGCACUGCUUUGCUCUUUCUGUGAAGCUUCGAUGACAAAAGUUUAUCAGAAGCUGACUGUAUUUAGGAUUAUGAAUAUGCAAUGACUCUCAUUCGUAUUGAAGCACAGGAACAUGGUCUGACAUCCCUUGCCACUUUUAGCUCUUGCAGAGUUGUCUAAUGAAUUGUCUUGCUCUUUCACUCUCACAAUCUUUGCUGUUAUGGCCCAGUUUGAGAACACUAUUGAUGGCAAAAUAUUAAUUGCCAAAACCCACUCUUGAUUUUGUUAAACAGUGUUGAGUCAGUGUUUAAAUUGUCGAAACAGAAAACCAUUAAACUCUACAGGAGAUAAAUCCAUGGCAAAUGGAGGAUAUCAUGUCUGCAUGCAUAGCCAUGCACAAACAUAAAGGUGUAUGGCACAGGUAUGCAUACAGUCUUGUAACUGCACUUAUACUUAAAGACAGAUGUGUGUGUAUCAGUGAAGGGUCUCAGAAACCUAAUGUCCUGAUUAAUUUUUUCUUUUACUUUUCCAAUAAGAACAAAUGGAGACAAUGGAAAGUUUUUCAAAUGAGCUUGACUCUGAUACACUGGUAUUUGAUCAACUGUUUUAUAUUCUUCCUUAUCCCAUUGGAAAUACGCCAAGCACUUUUCAGCUCAUCUGCAAUCUGUUUGAAUAAGUUACUGAUAAAGAGAGUUCAACAUGUGAUUAAGACAUAUGGCUUGAUUUAUUGUAUUUGAGGAGGUGUGUAGGCUUUCAGAAAGAAGUGAAAAUGACCCUUCCCCCCAACUGGCUAAAUUCAGUAUUUUUCUCCUAUUCAUCUGAAAAGUCUUCUGACAUAAAAGAAGUUUUAAUGGCUCUCUGCAGAUUGUGAAGGGUAAAGUGACUUGAAACAGCUAAUGUAUUUAAAGAAGCUUAAGCAGCAUUCUGAAAGGUGUGUGUGUACUGCAAAUAAUAAAUGUUAUGAAGUACUCCCAGUAGGAUGUCAGUCCUCUGGAGCUCUAUAUAUAUUAAUCAGUAAUGGAAAUCUUCCCAGUUCAAGGAAAGAGGAUCUCUUUAAUUUUUACUGUGAUUUUUUGGCACUGUUGCUCUAACACAAGCUUAUCUUACCUCUUAAUCCAAAUUUAGGACUGUCUGUUCUUAUCAGCUGGAUUAGAAAAUAACGAACAUCUAAUGAACAUCUACAUGAAAUACAAGAGCGGUUUAAAAUAAAUGUGAUUCUGACAAAAUUGGCUCAACUACCAUACAUCAAACACUUGUUACCUCUCUUUGCUUUAGUGACUCACAUGACUAAGAAAGAGUGAGUGAUAAAAUCUGAAGAAAGAUUAAACCAAUCUGGACCUUUUUAAAGAUCAUCAAUCAUUCUGCACAGCCAUGAUAUUAUUCGUUCCAGUAAGCCUUGUUCUCCUAUUUUAUGGACAUCUCAAGCCCCCCACCCCAGGACAAGUGCUACCAUGGGAAAUAAUUUUUAUAGGCAGCAUCUCAGUGUGGGCCAAUCAGAUCUAAUCACAUAACAAGCUACUGAAUUAUUCAAUGUUCUCCCUAAUUUUGCAUUCUUCCUGCACUUUGCUGUCACUACAGGAUUUUAAAAGUAUGGAUUUUUACAAUAUUAAGAAGAUAAUAAUUUGCAGAAUUUUUUCUUUCUCUAUGUCUUUCAAUAAUCAUCUUUCCAUUAGAUAAUUGCAGUGUACACACUACUAUACACAGAAUAUUUUUUCUAAAAUAAUAACAAUCCACAAUGUGGCACUCACAGUGUUUAAUAUACAAAUAUAAGGGCAACAAUAGCAAAACAAUAGUGUUCAAACAUAAAAUAUUCAUAUUUACAGAGCAAACUAUAACCAGCAUGUCUUUUAGCUGUUGCUGUGAAUACAGGGCUUACAUUGUAUGUGAAAAUAUUUCAGUUUUAAUUGCAAAUCUAUGCAGAGAUGAUUUGGGGUCUGUAAUUAGCACAUAAAUUUCAAACUUUGCAACUGCUGUGGAAACACACAUUAUUUAUGGAACUAUUAUCUAAAUAUAAUUCAGUGUUCUUUGCUUUCAAUAACUAC